RNAcentral lists this ribosomal RNA (984 nucleotides) under Bacillus cereus. RNAcentral describes it as "bacterial SSU rRNA". It matches the Rfam family "Bacterial small subunit ribosomal RNA", at positions 8 to 969 of the family's 1533-position model. Lineage: Bacteria; Bacillati; Bacillota; Bacilli; Caryophanales; Bacillaceae. The record is from RNAcentral.
AGAGUUUGAUCCUGGCUCAGGAUGAACGCUGGCGGCGUGCCUAAUACAUGCAAGUCGAGCGAAUGGAUUAAGAGCUUGCUCUUAUGAAGUUAGCGGCGGACGGGUGAGUAACACGUGGGUAACCUGCCCAUAAGACUGGGAUAACUCCGGGAAACCGGGGCUAAUACCGGAUAACAUUUUGAACUGCAUGGUUCGAAAUUGAAAGGCGGCUUCGGCUGUCACUUAUGGAUGGACCCGCGUCGCAUUAGCUAGUUGGUGAGGUAACGGCUCACCAAGGCAACGAUGCGUAGCCGACCUGAGAGGGUGAUCGGCCACACUGGGACUGAGACACGGCCCAGACUCCUACGGGAGGCAGCAGUAGGGAAUCUUCCGCAAUGGACGAAAGUCUGACGGAGCAACGCCGCGUGAGUGAUGAAGGCUUUCGGGUCGUAAAACUCUGUUGUUAGGGAAGAACAAGUGCUAGUUGAAUAAGCUGGCACCUUGACGGUACCUAACCAGAAAGCCACGGCUAACUACGUGCCAGCAGCCGCGGUAAUACGUAGGUGGCAAGCGUUAUCCGGAAUUAUUGGGCGUAAAGCGCGCGCAGGUGGUUUCUUAAGUCUGAUGUGAAAGCCCACGGCUCAACCGUGGAGGGUCAUUGGAAACUGGGAGACUUGAGUGCAGAAGAGGAAAGUGGAAUUCCAUGUGUAGCGGUGAAAUGCGUAGAGAUAUGGAGGAACACCAGUGGCGAAGGCGACUUUCUGGUCUGUAACUGACACUGAGGCGCGAAAGCGUGGGGGAGCAAACAGGAUUAGAUACCCUGGUAGUCCACGCCGUAAACGAUGAGUGCUAAGUGUUAGAGGGUUUCCGCCCUUUAGUGCUGAAGUUAACGCAUUAAGCACUCCGCCUGGGGGAGUACGGCCGCAAGGCUGAACUCAAAGGAAUUGACGGGGCCGGCACAAGCGGUGGAACAUUGUGGUUUAAUUCCGAGGCAACGCGAAGAAG